AGAGUUUGAUCCUGGCUCAGGAUGAACGCUAGCUACAGGCUUAACACAUGCAAGUCGAGGGGCAGCAUGAAGUUUGCUUGCAAACUUUGAUGGCGACCGGCGCACGGGUGAGUAACGCGUAUCCAACCUGGCCCUUAGUAGGGGAUAGCCCGGCGAAAGUCGGAUUAAUACCCUAUGUUCUUCGUCGAGGACAUCUGAAAUGAAGCAAAGGUUUACCGCUAAGGGAUGGGGAUGCGUCUGAUUAGGUAGUCGGCGGGGUAACGGCCCACCGAGCCAUCGAUCAGUAGGGGUUCUGAGAGGAAGGUCCCCCACAUUGGAACUGAGACACGGUCCAAACUCCUACGGGAGGCAGCAGUGAGGAAUAUUGGUCAAUGGUCGUAAGACUGAACCAGCCAAGUAGCGUGCAGGACGACGGCCCUACGGGUUGUAAACUGCUUUUAUGCGGGGAUAAAGUUGGGAACGUGUUCCCUUUUGCAGGUACCGCAUGAAUAAGGACCGGCUAAUUCCGUGCC
Molecule: ribosomal RNA, 512 nt
Filed under: uncultured organism
Description: SSU rRNA
Rfam family: Bacterial small subunit ribosomal RNA
Source: RNAcentral